Non-coding RNA from Myotis lucifugus (little brown bat), 96 nucleotides. The record is from Rfam. NCBI's taxonomy places the organism in Eukaryota, Metazoa, Chordata, Mammalia, Chiroptera, Vespertilionidae.
AUUACCUGGGGAUCUUGUUAAAAUGCAGAAUCAGAUUCUGUAGAUCUAAUGGGUUUUGAGAUUCUGCAUUUCUAACAAGCUCCUACAUGAGGACAA